Molecule: small RNA, 120 nt
Filed under: Mycoplasmoides pneumoniae M129
Lineage: Bacteria; Bacillati; Mycoplasmatota; Mycoplasmoidales; Mycoplasmoidaceae
Description: Mycoplasma pneumoniae M129 ncRNA
Source: RNAcentral
UCAAAGAACUUACUAAUAGAAGCAUCAGCGUCGUGAUCGAGUGAAAUGUUGAAGAUGAGGUGAUUACUUUCACGUCUUGCACAGCUAACAAAAAUGGUUGCGGGAAUGAUAAGCGGUAAA